Molecule: ribosomal RNA, 543 nt
Filed under: uncultured bacterium
Lineage: Bacteria
Description: bacterial SSU rRNA
Rfam family: Bacterial small subunit ribosomal RNA
Source: RNAcentral
UGAGGAAUAUUGGUCAAUGGGCGGAAGCCUGAACCAGCCAAGUAGCGUGCAGGAUGACGGCCCUAUGGGUUGUAAACUGCUUUUAUGCGGGGAUAACCGGGGCCACGCGUGGCCCCCUGCAGGUACCGCAUGAAUAAGGACCGGCUAAUUCCGUGCCAGCAGCCGCGGUAAUACGGAAGGUCCGGGCGUUAUCCGGAUUCAUUGGGUUUAAAGGGAGCGUAGGCCGUGGAUUAAGCGUGUUGUGAAAUGUAGGCGCUCAACGUCUGACUUGCAGCGCGAACUGGUCCACUUGAGUGUGCGCGACGCAGGCGGAAUUCGUGGUGUAGCGGUGAAAUGCUUAGAUAUCACGAGGAACCCCGAUUGCGAAGGCAGCUUGCGGGAGCACCACUGACGCUGAGGCUCGAAGGUGCGGGUAUCGAACAGGAUUAGAUACCCUGGUAGUCCGCACGGUAAACGAUGGAUGCCCGUUCUCCGGCUUUUUUUUGUCGGGGGACCGAGCGAAAGCAUUGAGCAUCCCACCUGGGGAGUACGCCGGCAACGGUG